AUGUUUCCUAGAGUUUAUCACCUUAUUGAGUUGUCAUUGCUACUACUGGUAGCGACGAUAACAGUUGAAAGGGCUUUUUCAGUGAUGAAAAUCAUCAAAACUGAGUUGUGCAGCAAGAUGUCAUGUGGCUGGCUUAAUGGCUUGAUGGUGUGUUACAUUGAGCGAGGGAUAUUCAAAAGAUCUUAAUAAAUUAAGGACGAUUUUCAAAAGAAAGGUAAGGCACUACCAUUGCCCGGGUCUUCUACAUGUCAUUAA
Molecule: ribosomal RNA, 255 nt
Filed under: Triticum aestivum (bread wheat)
Lineage: Eukaryota; Viridiplantae; Streptophyta; Magnoliopsida; Poales; Poaceae
Description: partial small subunit ribosomal RNA
Source: RNAcentral